CAGAUUUAGACAAGAGCUACAUUGAUAGUGAUUGGGCCGAAUCAUGUGAUGAUAUGAAGAGCACAUCAGGGUGUGUAUUCUAUCUGGGAUCAAGUCCUAUCUGUAAGAACUCAAUGAAGCAGAAAAUCGUGGCUCAAUCAAAAGCUGAAGCACAAUAUGUGGCUGCAUUUGAGGCUAUACAAACCAGGCAAUCUAGUUAAGGAAAGUCUUGGAGGAUCUAAACCAUAAGUAAUCUGAUACAACAAUGAUCCAUUACGACAGCCAAUCUGCUGUGGCUAUGGUUAAAAACCCAGUGUUCCAUGGAAGGACAAAACAUAUCAAGAUAAGGUAUCAUGCAAUCAGAGAAGCACAGGAGAACCUUGAAGUGAAGCUGGUGCAUUGCAAUUCUGAGGCCCAAUUUACAAACAUCCUAACAAAAUGUUUGUCUAAAGAAAGGUUCGAAACAUUAAGGAAAUGCCUUAGUGUUUCCAGCACAAGUGUCAAGGAAGAGUGUUAACACUGCUUGAUACUUUUGCUGUCACCAAUUGUAGUUUUUUGUAUAUUAAAAUCAGCCUAUGUAAUGUUUAUUUUUAAUGAUUAUAAUGUCUAUCAAUGUAUGGUUUAUUCUGUUACUAAGUAAGGCUGUAGUUGUCUGAAUGUUAUCACACCCUAU
Molecule: long non-coding RNA, 652 nt
Filed under: Olea europaea subsp. europaea
Lineage: Eukaryota; Viridiplantae; Streptophyta; Magnoliopsida; Lamiales; Oleaceae
Source: RNAcentral